This 846-nucleotide long non-coding RNA is filed under the name Anas platyrhynchos platyrhynchos (common mallard). Its description in RNAcentral is "lncRNA (ENSAPLG00000026912.1)". Lineage: Eukaryota; Metazoa; Chordata; Aves; Anseriformes; Anatidae. The record is from RNAcentral.
UUUUUCCUUUUUGUCUCCAUUUUCCUUUUUUUUGGUCUGUUUUCCUUUUUUUUUUUUUCCUCCAUUUUUCCUUUUUUCCUCCAUUUUUCCUUUUUUUCUCCAUUUUUCCUUUUUUCCUCCAUUUCUCCUUUUUUCCUCCAUUUCUCCUUUUUUUCUCCAUUUCUCCUUUUUUGCUCCAUUUUCCUCCAUUCAUUUUCCCUUUUUUCAUCAUCUUUUCCUUUUUCCUCCUGCAUUUUUAGUCCUCUUCCUUCUUUCCUUUUUUCCUGGUUCAUUUUCCUUUAUUCUGUUUUGUUUCCCUGUUCAAGGUCAUUCUCCUUUUUUGGGGGUUCAUUUUCCUUCUAUUUUCUCAUUUCAUUUUUUGGUUCAUUUUCCUUUUAUUUUGAUUCAUUUUCCCUUUUUUUGUCAUUUUCCUUUUAUUUUUGUUCAUUUUCCUCUUUUAUUUUUUCUGCUAUUUUCCCUUUUUUGGUUCAUUUUCCCUUUUCUUUGGCCACUUCACUUUUGUGGGGGUUUAUUUUUCUUUUCUUUUUUUCCUUUUUUGGGUCAUUUUCCUUUUUUCAUUUUUCGUUUCCUUUUUUUUUUUUUUUCCUUUUUUUAUGUUCACCUUCCCUUUUUUUGGUUCACUUUCCCCUUUUUUUUUGUUCAUUUUCCUUUAUUUUAACCAUUUACCGCCGGCUUUCUCCGCACUGCCCUGUACAUAACCCCGCGUGGCCCCCCUGGGAUGCGGCGGCUGCUUUGGCUUUUUUGGGGGGAAAUCCUCCUGAAAAACGGAAAAAAGAGCAAAAACCACCCCAAAACUUCACCAAGAACCUGGGAAUUACAUGAAAUAAACUCGGGGAGCGGCCGCCA